This 356-nucleotide ribosomal RNA is filed under the name Bacillus anthracis str. 95014. Its description in RNAcentral is "bacterial LSU rRNA". It matches the Rfam family "Bacterial large subunit ribosomal RNA", at positions 2574 to 2925 of the family's 2925-position model. Lineage: Bacteria; Bacillati; Bacillota; Bacilli; Caryophanales; Bacillaceae. The record is from RNAcentral.
GGGCUGUUCGCCCAUUAAAGCGGUACGCGAGCUGGGUUCAGAACGUCGUGAGACAGUUCGGUCCCUAUCCGUCGUGGGCGUAGGAAAUUUGAGAGGAGCUGUCCUUAGUACGAGAGGACCGGGAUGGACGCACCGCUGGUGUACCAGUUGUUCUGCCAAGGGCAUAGCUGGGUAGCUAUGUGCGGAAGGGAUAAGUGCUGAAAGCAUCUAAGCAUGAAGCCCCCCUCAAGAUGAGAUUUCCCAUAGCGUAAGCUAGUAAGAUCCCUGAAAGAUGAUCAGGUUGAUAGGUUCGAGGUGGAAGCAUGGUGACAUGUGGAGCUGACGAAUACUAAUAGAUCGAGGACUUAACCAUAUAA